RNAcentral lists this transfer RNA (76 nucleotides) under Bacteroidetes/Chlorobi group bacterium Naka2016. RNAcentral describes it as "tRNA-His". It matches the Rfam family "tRNA". From Rfam's summary of the family: Transfer RNA (tRNA) molecules are approximately 80 nucleotides in length. Lineage: Bacteria; Pseudomonadati. The record is from RNAcentral. RNAcentral also lists the same sequence under 1 other name.
GCGAGCUUAGCUCAGCUGGUUAGAGCACCAGAUUGUGGCUCUGGGGGUCACGGGUUCGAAUCCCGUAGCUCGCCCA